This 239-nucleotide ribosomal RNA is filed under the name uncultured bacterium. RNAcentral's name for it is "partial 16S ribosomal RNA". It matches the Rfam family "Bacterial small subunit ribosomal RNA", at positions 15 to 245 of the family's 1533-position model. The record is from RNAcentral.
GAUCCUGGCUCAGGAUGAACGCUAGCUACAGGCUUAACACAUGCAAGUCGAGGGGCAGCAUGAACUUAGCUUGCUAAGUUUGAUGGCGACCGGCGCACGGGUGAGUAACACGUAUCCAACCUGCCGAUGACUCGGGGAUAGCCUUUCGAAAGAAAGAUUAAUACCCGAUGGCAUAAUUCUUCCGCAUGGUAGAACUAUUAAAGAAUUUCGGUCAUCGAUGGGAUGCGGUUCCUAUUAGG